This 249-nucleotide unclassified non-coding RNA is filed under the name plant metagenome. RNAcentral describes it as "partial contains small subunit ribosomal RNA, internal transcribed spacer 1, and 5.8S ribosomal RNA". The stretch from base 201 to 249 matches the Rfam family "5.8S ribosomal RNA", at positions 1 to 49 of the family's 154-position model. The record is from RNAcentral.
ACUCCGUAGGUGAACCUGCGGAGGGAUCACUACAGAGUUCAUGCCCUACCGGGUAGAUCUCCCACCCUAUGUUAUUAUUACUUUGUUGCUUUGGCGGGCCGUUAGGCUCCGGCCCGACUACCGGCCCCGGCUGGUAAGCGCCCGCCAGAGGACCCAAAACCCUGAAUAUUAGUGUCGUCUGAGUACUAUAUAAUAGUUAAAACUUUCAACAACGGAUCUCUUGGUUCUGACAUCGAUGAAGAACGCAGC